Molecule: ribosomal RNA, 478 nt
Filed under: uncultured bacterium
Lineage: Bacteria
Description: partial 16S ribosomal RNA
Rfam family: Bacterial small subunit ribosomal RNA
Source: RNAcentral
GAUGAACGCUGGCGGCGUGCUUAACACAUGCAAGUCGAACGGAGUCCAGCCUUUAAGACCUUCGGGUCAAAGAGGGGAAGACUGAGUGGCGGACGGGUGAGUAACACGUGGGCAACCUGGCUCAUAGAGGGGGAUAACAGAGAGAAAUUUCUGCUAAUACCGCAUAAGCACACACUGCCGCAUGGCAGAGGGUGAAAAGAGAAUCGCUAUGAGAUGGACCCGCGUCUGAUUAGCCAGUUGGCAGGGUAAGAGCCUACCAAAGCGACGAUCAGUAGCCGAUCUGAGAGGAUGAACGGCCACAUUGGGACUGAGACACGGCCCAAACUCCUACGGGAGGCAGCAGUGGGGGAUAUUGCACAAUGGGGGGAACCCUGAUGCAGCGACGCCGCGUGAGUGAAGAAGUAUUUCGGUAUGUAAAGCUCUAUCAGCAGGGAAGAUAAUGACAGUACCUGAAUAAGAAGCCCCGGCUAACUACGUG